RNAcentral lists this transfer RNA (69 nucleotides) under Athalia birmanica. Its description in RNAcentral is "tRNA-Leu". The record is from RNAcentral. Lineage: Eukaryota; Metazoa; Arthropoda; Insecta; Hymenoptera; Athaliidae.
UCUAUUUUGGCAGAUUAGUGCGUUAAAUUUAGAAUUUAAUUAAAAAUAAAAAUUUUUAUUUAAAUAGAA